UACGGGGGGAGCAAGCGUUGUUCGGAUUUACUGGGCGUAAAGGGCGCGUAGGCGGUCGUGACAAGUCACUUGUGAAAUCUCCGGGCUUAACUCGGAACGGUCAAGUGAUACUGUCGGACUAGAGUACAGAAGGGGCAACUGGAAUUCUCGGUGUAGCGGUGAAAUGCGUAGAUAUCGAGAGGAACACCAAUUGCGAAGGCAGCUCGCUGGGACGUUACUGACGCUGAGACGCGAAAGCGUGGGGAGCAAACAGG
RNAcentral lists this ribosomal RNA (254 nucleotides) under uncultured bacterium. Its description in RNAcentral is "partial 16S ribosomal RNA". It matches the Rfam family "Bacterial small subunit ribosomal RNA", at positions 524 to 776 of the family's 1533-position model. The record is from RNAcentral.